RNAcentral lists this ribosomal RNA (109 nucleotides) under Bacilli bacterium. Lineage: Bacteria; Bacillati; Bacillota; Bacilli. The record is from RNAcentral. RNAcentral also lists the same sequence under 3 other names.
UAAGGCGGUCAUAGCGCGGGGGUUCCACCCCUCCCCAUUCCGAACAGGGAAGUUAAGCCCCGCCACGCCGAUGGUACUGGUAACCCGGGAGAGUAGGUAGCCGCCCCCU